GGGCCGUUAGCUCAGCGGUAGAGCACCUCAUUUGCAAUGAGGGGGUCGCCGGUUCAAGUCCGGCACGGUCCACCA
Molecule: transfer RNA, 75 nt
Filed under: Candidatus Yanofskybacteria bacterium RIFCSPHIGHO2_01_FULL_41_27
Lineage: Bacteria; Candidatus Yanofskyibacteriota
Also listed under: 3 other names
Description: tRNA-Ala
Rfam family: tRNA
About the family: Transfer RNA (tRNA) molecules are approximately 80 nucleotides in length. Their secondary structure includes four short double-helical elements and three loops (D, anti-codon, and T loops).
Source: RNAcentral